UACGAAGGGUGCAAGCGUUAAUCGGAAUUACUGGGCGUAAAGCGCGCGUAGGUGGUUCAGUAAGUUGAAGGUGAAAUCCCCGGGCUCAACCUGGGAACUGCCUCCAAAACUGCUGAGCUAGAGUAUGGUAGAGGGUAGUGGAAUUUCCUGUGUAGCGGUGAAAUGCGUAGAUAUAGGAAGGAACACCAGUGGCGAAGGCGACUACCUGGACUGAUACUGACACUGAGGUGCGAAAGCGUGGGGAGCAAACAGG
Molecule: ribosomal RNA, 253 nt
Filed under: uncultured bacterium
Lineage: Bacteria
Description: partial 16S ribosomal RNA
Rfam family: Bacterial small subunit ribosomal RNA
Source: RNAcentral